This is a long non-coding RNA of Cyprinus carpio (common carp), 972 nucleotides long. The record is from Ensembl. Lineage: Eukaryota; Metazoa; Chordata; Actinopteri; Cypriniformes; Cyprinidae.
AUAUGCUUUUGUAUGGUCACGUCCCAACUCAUGAGGAUUUCAAACCCGUCGUUUGCGAUGCCUGCAACAAAGUCGUUAAGCCUCAGGACGUCCUGACUCAUUACGGUAGUUGGGGAAUAGUUGAACAGUGAGUAGAGAGGAGCGUGUUCACCUCGAGCCCUCCAGAGCCAUGCAUAGCAAGAACCAGAGGAGACACUGCUCGCCCAGCAGCUCCAGGACCCCUCUGGUUCCUGUCAAGGCCAAGAUGUCGGUGGGCCAGAGCGAGGUGGAGCCCCUUCCCUUCAGGGUUCCUCGUGAUUACCCACACUCACGCUUCAGCAAGGCGCCGCUGGCCGUCUAUCCACCCAAAGGAGCCCGAGCCAAAGCCUGCGUGUCUUUACCAGUGGUGAGUCUGGAGAAGAUGCCGUGUUUCAACCGAUCGGAGGGAGCACACAUCAAAGUCAACUCCACGUCUCCCACGGCGGGGUCUUCUCUUUCCUUCUCCUCCACGUCUUCCUCUCCAUCUUCCGCUCCUCUCAAGUCCUCCUUGACGUCACCAGCAUCUCAGAAGAACCAGGAGAAGUUCAUGAACGGUCGUGGUCCUGUGACGCCUCGCUCCACCACACCCCCCUCGCUGAUUGACAGGCGGCCCAGCCCAUCACGGUCACCCUUGGAGAAACGGCCCGCCCCCUCGCCCUCCCCACAGGACAGGAGACCCGCGGCCUCCACGUCUCCAUCCCUAUUGGACCGGAGACCGAUAGUCCCUCCUUCUCCACCAGACAAGAAGCAUCAGAAUGGAGCCAAAGGCGUGCGGCACCGGAGAGUGUCAGGUGAGUAGCAAACGCUUGUUUAAUGUACAGUCAAACCAAAAAUGAAUCCGACACCAGAUAUAAUGUUUUAUUUUUAUUUUUUAACUAGUGGGUGCAGGACACUAUAGUUAAUGUAUGUAAGUUAGGGUAGCAAAAUAAAGUGAACUGUGACACAUUAUACCCA